This is a long non-coding RNA of Dendronephthya gigantea, 738 nucleotides long. RefSeq lists it as uncharacterized. The transcript has 3 exons. The record is from RefSeq and is a predicted model, not a curated record. Lineage: Eukaryota; Metazoa; Cnidaria; Anthozoa; Malacalcyonacea; Nephtheidae.
CCCGACUGCAAAGGAGCUUUUGAAGGAUAAGUUAUUCUCUAACCUCCAAGAGGAAGUUCUCCAGGAAGUGUUGUUCGAUAUUGAGCAGCUUCAGAGAAAAGCAGUGCGGUCUCAGGAAAAUGAGGAUAUGGCCUUUUCGCCAACCACCUUUGAUGACAAUGCUGCUGGUGUUGAAGAAACAAUUCAUGCGCUCCCUCUGUGAUCUGGAUGACGACAGAAAAAAUGAAAGCACAUGCAGAUUUUAAUCUUCACUUAUAUUUUGAUCGUUACUCAGUUAAUUGCAACGAUUACAUAUUUGAUUCACUGUCGUACUGAUUAUUUAGUAGAUUAUUCACCCGCGAGCAAAUCGCACUAAAAUAUAAUUCAUAGAAUUAGAGAUUGUAGAUGAAUGUUUUCAAUUCAUAACCAGCUUAGCAGCAAAAUGAUUUUUCACCCUACAGAUUACUCAAUAUGCAUGGAUCAGCUACAUUCCUUUUUUGUAUAACAAAUUCGCACCAUACAAAACCAAUAGGUUUCGUUAAUGAAACAAAGAACUCCUUAGUAUAUAAAGAAAUCUAUAUAGGAAACUUGUAGAGAACUAGCAGUUUAGUACUUGCAGUCAAGCUGUAUAAUACAUUCGUAGAAAUUUGUAGUAAAACUAUACAUAUACGUUAAUUUUAUAAUUUACGUAAUAUGCAUAUAUCCUCUCAGGAGAAUCAUCUGGUACUUUUCAUGCACAAUAAUUUACUUGUAUAAUUA